This 488-nucleotide ribosomal RNA is filed under the name uncultured Eubacteriales bacterium. RNAcentral's name for it is "bacterial SSU rRNA". It matches the Rfam family "Bacterial small subunit ribosomal RNA", at positions 8 to 507 of the family's 1533-position model. The record is from RNAcentral. Lineage: Bacteria; Bacillati; Bacillota; Clostridia; Eubacteriales.
AGAGUUUGAUCCUGGCUCAGGAUGAACGCUGGCGGCGUGCCUAACACAUGCAAGUCGAACGGAGUUACGAUGAAACCUAGUGAUUCGUAACUUAGUGGCGGACGGGUGAGUAACGCGUGGAUAACCUGCCUUACACUGGGGGAUAACACUUAGAAAUAGGUGCUAAUACCGCAUAAGCGCACGGAGCCGCAUGGCUUAGUGUGAAAAACUCCGGUGGUGUAAGAUGGAUCCGCGUCUGAUUAGCUGGUUGGCGGGGUAGAAGCCCACCAAGGCGACGAUCAGUAGCCGGCCUGAGAGGGUGAACGGCCACAUUGGGACUGAGACACGGCCCAAACUCCUACGGGAGGCAGCAGUGGGGAAUAUUGCACAAUGGGGGAAACCCUGAUGCAGCAACGCCGCGUGAGUGAAGAAGUCAUUCGUGAUGUAAAGCUCUAUCAGCAGGGAAGAAAAUGACGGUACCUGAGUAAGAAGCCCCGGCUAAUUACGUG